ACGGCCGUACCAUGCUGAAUAUACCGGUUCUCGUUAGAUCACCGAAGUCAAGCAUCAUUGGGCGCGGUCAGUACUUGGGUGGGUGACCACCUGGGAACACUGCGUGUCGUU
This 111-nucleotide ribosomal RNA is filed under the name Caerostris darwini. The record is from RNAcentral. Lineage: Eukaryota; Metazoa; Arthropoda; Arachnida; Araneae; Araneidae.